RNAcentral lists this ribosomal RNA (2900 nucleotides) under Escherichia coli. Its description in RNAcentral is "23S ribosomal RNA". It matches the Rfam family "Bacterial large subunit ribosomal RNA". The record is from RNAcentral. Lineage: Bacteria; Pseudomonadati; Pseudomonadota; Gammaproteobacteria; Enterobacterales; Enterobacteriaceae.
UUAAGCGACUAAGCGUACACGGUGGAUGCCCUGGCAGUCAGAGGCGAUGAAGGACGUGCUAAUCUGCGAUAAGCGUCGGUAAGGUGAUAUGAACCGUUAUAACCGGCGAUUUCCGAAUGGGGAAACCCAGUGUGAUUCGUCACACUAUCAUUAACUGAAUCCAUAGGUUAAUGAGGCGAACCGGGGGAACUGAAACAUCUAAGUACCCCGAGGAAAAGAAAUCAACCGAGAUUCCCCCAGUAGCGGCGAGCGAACGGGGAGGAGCCCAGAGCCUGAAUCAGUGUGUGUGUUAGUGGAAGCGUCUGGAAAGGCGCGCGAUACAGGGUGACAGCCCCGUACACAAAAAUGCACAUGCUGUGAGCUCGAUGAGUAGGGCGGGACACGUGGUAUCCUGUCUGAAUAUGGGGGGACCAUCCUCCAAGGCUAAAUACUCCUGACUGACCGAUAGUGAACCAGUACCGUGAGGGAAAGGCGAAAAGAACCCCGGCGAGGGGAGUGAAAAAGAACCUGAAACCGUGUACGUACAAGCAGUGGGAGCCUCUUUAUGGGGUGACUGCGUACCUUUUGUAUAAUGGGUCAGCGACUUAUAUUCUGUAGCAAGGUUAACCGAAUAGGGGAGCCGAAGGGAAACCGAGUCUUAACUGGGCGUUAAGUUGCAGGGUAUAGACCCGAAACCCGGUGAUCUAGCCAUGGGCAGGUUGAAGGUUGGGUAACACUAACUGGAGGACCGAACCGACUAAUGUUGAAAAAUUAGCGGAUGACUUGUGGCUGGGGGUGAAAGGCCAAUCAAACCGGGAGAUAGCUGGUUCUCCCCGAAAGCUAUUUAGGUAGCGCCUCGUGAAUUCAUCUCCGGGGGUAGAGCACUGUUUCGGCAAGGGGGUCAUCCCGACUUACCAACCCGAUGCAAACUGCGAAUACCGGAGAAUGUUAUCACGGGAGACACACGGCGGGUGCUAACGUCCGUCGUGAAGAGGGAAACAACCCAGACCGCCAGCUAAGGUCCCAAAGUCAUGGUUAAGUGGGAAACGAUGUGGGAAGGCCCAGACAGCCAGGAUGUUGGCUUAGAAGCAGCCAUCAUUUAAAGAAAGCGUAAUAGCUCACUGGUCGAGUCGGCCUGCGCGGAAGAUGUAACGGGGCUAAACCAUGCACCGAAGCUGCGGCAGCGACACUAUGUGUUGUUGGGUAGGGGAGCGUUCUGUAAGCCUGCGAAGGUGUACUGUGAGGUAUGCUGGAGGUAUCAGAAGUGCGAAUGCUGACAUAAGUAACGAUAAAGCGGGUGAAAAGCCCGCUCGCCGGAAGACCAAGGGUUCCUGUCCAACGUUAAUCGGGGCAGGGUGAGUCGACCCCUAAGGCGAGGCCGAAAGGCGUAGUCGAUGGGAAACAGGUUAAUAUUCCUGUACUUGGUGUUACUGCGAAGGGGGGACGGAGAAGGCUAUGUUGGCCGGGCGACGGUUGUCCCGGUUUAAGCGUGUAGGCUGGUUUUCCAGGCAAAUCCGGAAAAUCAAGGCUGAGGCGUGAUGACGAGGCACUACGGUGCUGAAGCAACAAAUGCCCUGCUUCCAGGAAAAGCCUCUAAGCAUCAGGUAACAUCAAAUCGUACCCCAAACCGACACAGGUGGUCAGGUAGAGAAUACCAAGGCGCUUGAGAGAACUCGGGUGAAGGAACUAGGCAAAAUGGUGCCGUAACUUCGGGAGAAGGCACGCUGAUAUGUAGGUGAAGUCCCUCGCGGAUGGAGCUGAAAUCAGUCGAAGAUACCAGCUGGCUGCAACUGUUUAUUAAAAACACAGCACUGUGCAAACACGAAAGUGGACGUAUACGGUGUGACGCCUGCCCGGUGCCGGAAGGUUAAUUGAUGGGGUUAGCGCAAGCGAAGCUCUUGAUCGAAGCCCCGGUAAACGGCGGCCGUAACUAUAACGGUCCUAAGGUAGCGAAAUUCCUUGUCGGGUAAGUUCCGACCUGCACGAAUGGCGUAAUGAUGGCCAGGCUGUCUCCACCCGAGACUCAGUGAAAUUGAACUCGCUGUGAAGAUGCAGUGUACCCGCGGCAAGACGGAAAGACCCCGUGAACCUUUACUAUAGCUUGACACUGAACAUUGAGCCUUGAUGUGUAGGAUAGGUGGGAGGCUUUGAAGUGUGGACGCCAGUCUGCAUGGAGCCGACCUUGAAAUACCACCCUUUAAUGUUUGAUGUUCUAACGUUGGCCCCUGAUCGGGGUUGCGGACAGUGUCUGGUGGGUAGUUUGACUGGGGCGGUCUCCUCCUAAAGAGUAACGGAGGAGCACGAAGGUUGGCUAAUCCUGGUCGGACAUCAGGAGGUUAGUGCAAUGGCAUAAGCCAGCUUGACUGCGAGCGUGACGGCGCGAGCAGGUGCGAAAGCAGGUCAUAGUGAUCCGGUGGUUCUGAAUGGAAGGGCCAUCGCUCAACGGAUAAAAGGUACUCCGGGGAUAACAGGCUGAUACCGCCCAAGAGUUCAUAUCGACGGCGGUGUUUGGCACCUCGAUGUCGGCUCAUCACAUCCUGGGGCUGAAGUAGGUCCCAAGGGUAUGGCUGUUCGCCAUUUAAAGUGGUACGCGAGCUGGGUUUAGAACGUCGUGAGACAGUUCGGUCCCUAUCUGCCGUGGGCGCUGGAGAACUGAGGGGGGCUGCUCCUAGUACGAGAGGACCGGAGUGGACGCAUCACUGGUGUUCGGGUUGUCAUGCCAAUGGCACUGCCCGGUAGCUAAAUGCGGAAGAGAUAAGUGCUGAAAGCAUCUAAGCACGAAACUUGCCCCGAGAUGAGUUCUCCCUGACUCCUUGAGAGUCCUGAAGGAACGUUGAAGACGACGACGUUGAUAGGCCGGGUGUGUAAGCGCAGCGAUGCGUUGAGCUAACCGGUACUAAUGAACCGUGAGGCUUAACCUU